Molecule: ribosomal RNA, 253 nt
Filed under: uncultured bacterium
Lineage: Bacteria
Description: partial 16S ribosomal RNA
Rfam family: Bacterial small subunit ribosomal RNA
Source: RNAcentral
UACAGAGGGGGCAAGCGUUGUCCGGAUUUAUUGGGCGUAAAGAGCUCGUAGGCGGCUUGUCGCGUCGACCGUGAAAACUCGCAGCUCAACUGCGAGCCUGCGGUCGAUACGGGCAGGCUAGAGUUCGGUAGGGGAGACUGGAAUUCCAGGUGUAGCGGUGAAAUGCGUAGAUAUCUGGAGGAACACCGGUGGCGAAGGCGGCAUCCUGGACCGGUAUUGACGCUGAGGCGCGAAAGCUAGGGGAGCAAACGGG